RNAcentral lists this ribosomal RNA (383 nucleotides) under uncultured eukaryote. RNAcentral describes it as "partial 18S ribosomal RNA". It matches the Rfam family "Eukaryotic small subunit ribosomal RNA", at positions 592 to 976 of the family's 1831-position model. The record is from RNAcentral.
CAAUAGCGUAUAUUAAAGUUGUUGCAGUUAAAAAGCUCGUAGUUGGAUUUCUGGUGGGAGCGAUCGGUCUGGCGCUUAGCGCGAGUACUUGCAUCGUCUCCGGCCAUCCUUGGGGAGAGUCUGUCUGGCAUUAAGUUGUCGGGCAGAGGAUCCUCAUCGUUUACUGUGAAAAAAUUAGAGUGUUCAAAGCAGGCUUAUGCCGUUGAAUAUAUUAGCAUGGAAUAAUAAGAUAGGACUUUGGUACUAUUUUGUUGGUUUGCGCACCAAAGUAAUGAUUAAUAGGGACAGUUGGGGGUAUUCGUAUUCCGUCGUCAGAGGUGAAAUUCUUGGAUUUACGGAAGACGAACUACUGCGAAAGCAUUUACCAAGGAUGUUUUCAUUAA